RNAcentral lists this ribosomal RNA (800 nucleotides) under uncultured Gemmatimonadota bacterium. Its description in RNAcentral is "bacterial SSU rRNA". It matches the Rfam family "Bacterial small subunit ribosomal RNA", at positions 83 to 866 of the family's 1533-position model. Lineage: Bacteria; Pseudomonadati; Gemmatimonadota. The record is from RNAcentral.
CUUCGGCCCUUAGUGGCGAACGGGUGCGUAACACGUGAGCAACCUGCCCAUGCAUGGGGGAUAACCCGGGGAAACCCGGGCUAAUACCGCAUACGUUCUUUCUGUCGAGUGGCGGAGAGAGGAAAGCUCCUGUAGGGGAGCGUGCGUGGAGGGGCUCGCGGCGUAUCAGCUAGCUGGUGAGGUAACGGCUCACCAGGGCGACGACGCGUAGCCGAUCUGAGAGGAUGAUCGGCCACAUUGGGACUGAGAUACGGCCCAGACUCCUACGGGAGGCAGCAGUGGGGAAUCUUGCGCAAUGGGCGAAAGCCUGACGCAGCGACGCCGCGUGCGGGAGGAAGCUCUUCGGGGUGUAAACCGCUGUCAGGGGGGAAGAACGGGCCGGGGAGGCAAUGCCCCGGUUUUGACGGUACCCCCAGAGGAAGCACCGGCUAACUCUGUGCCAGCAGCCGCGGUAAUACAGAGGGUGCGAGCGUUGUUCGGAAUUACUGGGCGUAAAGCGCGCGCAGGCGGCCUUUUAAGUCUGCUGGUGAAAUGCCGGGGCUCAACCCCGUGCCCGCCACAGAUACUGGGAGGCUGGAGACGAGUAGAGGCAAGCGGAAUUCCGGGUGUAGCGGUGGAAUGCGUAGAGAUCCGGAAGAACACCGGAGGCGAAGGCGGCUUGCUGGGCUUGGUCUGACGCUGAGGCGCGAAAGCGUGGGGAGCGAACAGGAUUAGAUACCCUGGUAGUCCACGCCGUAAACGAUGGGCACUAGACGCUGGUGGGAUCGACCCCUUCGGUGUCGCAGCUAACGCGAUAAGUG